This 432-nucleotide long non-coding RNA is filed under the name Pan troglodytes (chimpanzee). RNAcentral's name for it is "long non-coding RNA NONPTRT013102". Lineage: Eukaryota; Metazoa; Chordata; Mammalia; Primates; Hominidae. The record is from RNAcentral.
UGCUACCAACUACUUUUUUGGGUCUUGAUAUUUUCCUUUUACCUGACCUGGUGGCCAGCCAGCUACAAUGACAAAACAGUAGAAUUACAAACUCUCCCCAGGUGUGCCACUGAACUUCACCCAAGGUCAGAAUUGAUCUGUGGCAUGAACAUAGAAAUAAAUGAAGGUAGUGAUGAUGGCUGCCAAUUCUGACUCUCCUUGCCGGUACUUUGCUCAGUAUUUCAGCCUCCAAGUGGACAAGAAAUCUCUCCAUAAGUAGUUGGAAGAGCUUGUGUAUAUGGUUGUCAGCUGUGGAUACAGUGGGUAGAAUGAGGGUCCCUGCAAAAGAUAUAUCCAUGUCUUAACCCCAGAACUUGUGACUAUGACCUUACAGGAAAACGAUCUAAGAAGAUGUCAUGAGGUUUAGGAUCUUGAGAUGAGAUCAUUCUGGAU